UUGGUUUAGGAUUUAGGAUUUGGAUUAGGGAUUGAUUUAGGGUUUAAGAUUUGAUUUAGGAUUUGAUUAGGAUUUUAUUUAGGAUUUAGAAUUUGGUUUGGGUUUGAUUUAGGAUUUAGGAUUUAGGAUUUGGAUUAAGAUUUGAUUUAAGGUUUGGAUUAGGGUUUGGAUUAGGGUUUGGUUUGAGGUUUGGAUUAGGGUUUGGUUUAGGGUUUAGGAUUUGGUUAGGAUUUGGUUAGGAUUUGAUUUAGGAUUUGGUUGGGAUUUGGUUUAAGAUUUGUUAAGGGUUUGAUUUAGGAUUUAAGAUUUUAUUAGGAUUUAAGAUUCAAUUAGUUUUGGCCUAAAUUUUGAAUGAAGUUCAAUAGGAUUUUAACUAGAAUUAAAUUAAGAUUGAAUUGAGAUGUAUUUGAGUGAUAUUUAUGAUCCUUCUAAUAUUUCUUUAAGAAUUCUUAUUGUUUGUUUGAAAUUUCUUUGAUUUUUCUUUGAAUUUGAUUAAGCUUACUUACCAUUAUUAUGGUCUA
Molecule: long non-coding RNA, 521 nt
Filed under: Physcomitrium patens
Lineage: Eukaryota; Viridiplantae; Streptophyta; Bryopsida; Funariales; Funariaceae
Description: long non-coding RNA (PPAT_LNC014586)
Source: RNAcentral